This is an RNA transcript of Amborella trichopoda, 2941 nucleotides long. It is a transcript of the gene named Leucine-rich repeat (LRR) family protein, with no coding region annotated. The record is from RefSeq and is a predicted model, not a curated record. NCBI's taxonomy places the organism in Eukaryota, Viridiplantae, Streptophyta, Magnoliopsida, Amborellales, Amborellaceae.
UGUUUUGGAGUUGACGCUUUAGAGAGAUAAACAAUGGCCUUUCUCUCUCUUGAAUUAAACGAGUCCCAUGCGUAGGCGGCACGUUACCUAAGGCGCUCCAGCCCCCUGUCCCUCUCUCUAGGGCCACGUUCCAUUUCUCAAGCGAAGUGAAUUCCGCCUCAGGCGAUUUUCAUCUCUUGAAAGUUGAAACCCUAAUUUUCACAUCAGCGCAGUUUGGUUUGUUUGGGGAAGCUGAGAAGGGAGGCCAGGCGAAAUCAGUUUGCGUUUUUAUCUGUCAAAAUGAGCAAGAAAAUUUACAUGUCCAUGGGUAGGAAGGCCUUGAUUAAGAGAGAUCUAGAGUCAAUAAUGGCAUAUAAUGAAGGGGAAGGCCUUCUCACUGUUAUGUGUGUCGACGCUGCUUGCAAGAACCCACAGGCUAUUGAAAUAUGGAGGAGGCAGCGAAGAACCCUUGAAAGCAUGCCUUCGCAACUUGCAGGAGGCCUUCUCCGUCUCCUAAUUCAACGACACCUCAUUACACCUUCAUUGCUGGAGGUCUUCAAGACAUGUAUAGAGGAGGUUGAUUUGAUGGGUGAGAGUUCUGUAGAUGCAGAAUGGAUGGCUUAUUUGGGGGCAUAUCGUUAUCUUAGGAGUUUGAAUCUUGCAGAUUGCAAGAGAGUUACUGAUUUUGCUCUCUGGAAUAUCAGUGGAUUGAGCAGUUUACAAGAAGUUGACUUGUCCAGGUGCUCAAGAAUUACUGAUAAAGGGAUUGCACAUCUUUUGUCCAUCCAAAAUUUGCAGAAAUUAUGUCUUCCUGAAACUGCAGUGAGCUCCAAUGGAGUCCAUCUUCUUUCUUCUCUUCGAAACCUCACUUACUUGGAUUUAGGAGGCAUACGUGUCACUGAUUCAGCACUAAGCUCGUUGGCGACAUUGACAGAUUUGGAGUACCUCGAGUUAUGGGGAAGUGAUAUUUCAGAUCAAGGAGCUGCAUUUCUAACAAGGCUAUCAAAGUUGAAUUUCCUGAAUUUAGCCUGGACCAAUGUCACUGAGUUGCCAAAUUUUCCCUCUUUAAAAACUUUAAACAUGAGUCAAUGUGCCAUAUCCUCUAUCUUUCAUGGAGAGAACGAAACGAGACCGCUAUUGUAUAAGCUUCUUGUCUCAGGAGCCAUAUUUAAGGAUGUGCACAGGGCCUUCUCUUGUCUGGAAACAGCCAACUUAUCAUACUUGGAUAUAUCUGGCUCCAUUAUGGAUGAAUUCCACUUUUUGUCUUCUAUGAAAGCACUGGAAUAUUUGGAUAUAAGUUCAACCAAAAUGGGAGAUAGUUCAAUAGAUUCACUUAUAUGUAUUGGAGAGAAUUUGAGAGUUUUGAAGCUACGUAACACAAAAAUUACCUCUAAUUGGGUGGCUGCUCUUGCUGGAAAUGUCCCUAAUCUUGAAGCAAUCUCCUUGUCCCACACAGCCGUUGAUGAUGAUGUCUUUUCAUAUAUCAAACUGAUGCCUGCUUUGAGGGGAAUCGAUCUGAGCAACACAAACAUCAAAGGUUUUCUUCAGCAGCACAUUAAUGGAGUUCUGAAAACAACUCCCUCCCUGGUAGCUCUGCAAGAUCUCAAGAAUUUGGAAAGAUUGGAUUUGGAAGACACCCAAGUCAGGGAUUCGGCAUUGCAUCCACUAUCUCGGUUGAGUGAACUGAUCCAUUUGUCCCUUAAGAAUGAUUUCCUCUCUGACAUCACUCUCCACCCAAUGUCCUCCAUCCCAAAAUUGAAGUUUCUUGGGAUUCGAGGUGCGGUUUUGACCAGUGCGGGUCUUUGUUCUUUCAAGCCACCAGGCAUGCUUGAGACCCUUGAUCUGAGAGGAUGUUGGCUUCUGACAAAUGAAGGAGUUUCACAAUUUUGUAGGAGCUACCCUUGGAUUCACGUAAAGCAUGAGUUUGUUAAGAUGUCCUCUACAGAUUCAAAUUCCUCUUCUGAUUGUUUGUUGCCAUGGCAUGGAACAUCAGGAACAUGUAGACCAAGGAACAUCAGGAGGAAAACGCCCUCAUCCAUGCUCAAUACCAGGAAAAAGUUUGUAGAUGAACGUAUAAAAUACAGCCGAUCAGAGUUGCUAAACCUGCAGCCAUCACAUCUAUCCAGGAUAACUCUUUCAUGAUACGGUAUGUUGCUCCAGGAAAUGGACUGUAAGGAGCAAUACGAUCCUUUUGGAGUUCUUUCCCAUUCCCAGUGUUUUGAAAAUCGAGUCGGCCAAGGUACUCGGCCCUUGUAAGAGCCAAGUUACUCAGGGUGCGUCUAACUGUGAUUGUUUAAGGCGCCAACCUUACACAAACCUCACCCGAUGAGAUAAAGGGUUGUAAAGUGAUGGACUAUUUAGAGGUCAGUCCUGGAAGAGAAGCAAUAUGUGUGAAGCUUGCCAUUACUGAAAGCCAAGGCCUCAGAAAGAGGUCGUGUUUUUUGCUGCUGCUGCUUUGGACCGAUGGGAGUAUCAAUUGAGAGGCACCAUUAUUACAUUCAUGGCUUCCAAACUCAUGAACAAAUUUCUAGCACCGUACGACCAUAGCUUGGAAGUAUUAAAGAGAUUGAAGUGAUUUCUGAAGGGUGGACUUCUUGUUUACUGACGCAGAGAGAGCAUAUAACUAAGAGAGAGACUGCUUCUUUGUAGGUUACAGAGGGAGCAUAUAACUGAAGAGACUAGUUUAGCACGUGUAGAGAGAGUAGCUUAGUUCUUGGAGAGAGAGGAACUAGCUUACUAUGUAUAGUAUGCUCCUGUGGGAGUAUACUAUACAUUGAUUCAAUCCCACACAAGAGCUGCUUGAGAAUUUAAAUUUUAGGAUCCACCUAAGUAUCAUUCGCUAGAUGAUUAUUUUUGACGACAAAAAAACAAAAACUAGGUUUUUAACGCUUAGAUUUUACCCACGUGUGAUUGAAAUUGUUUUUAUUUAGAGGUGGUCCCGUGGUUCUGGAGGUUACGUACC